GACGAACCGGACAAACGUUAUUCGGAAUUACUGGGCUUAAAGGGUUUGUAGGCGGCCUUGUAAGUCAGGUGUGAAAUCCCUCGGCUCAACCGAGGAAUAGCGCUUGAUACUGCAAGGCUUGAGGGAGACAGGGGUAAGCGGAACUGAUGGUGGAGCGGUGAAAUGCGUUGAUAUCAUCAGGAACACCGGUGGCGAAAGCGGCUUACUGGGUCUCUUCUGACGCUGAGGAACGAAAGCUAGGGGAGCGAACGGG
Molecule: ribosomal RNA, 253 nt
Filed under: uncultured bacterium
Lineage: Bacteria
Also listed under: 1 other name
Description: partial 16S ribosomal RNA
Rfam family: Bacterial small subunit ribosomal RNA
Source: RNAcentral